GGGCCCGCACAAGCGGUGGAGCAUGUGGUUUAAUUCGAUGCAACGCGAAAAACCUUACCAGGCCUUGACAUCCUGAGAAUUCGGUAGAGAUACCUUAGUGCCUUCGGGAACUCAGUGACAGGUGUUGCAUGGCUGUCGUCAGCUCGUGUCGUGAGAUGUUGGGUUAAGUCCCGUAACGAGCGCAACCCUUAUCCUUAUUUGCCAGCACAUUAUGGUGGGAACUUUAAGGAGACUGCCGGUGACAAACCGGAGGAAGGAGAGGAUGAUGUCAAGUCAUCAUGGCCCUUACGGCCUGGGCUACACACGUGCUACAAUGGACAGUACAGAGGGCCGCAAUACCGCGAGGUGGAGCAAAUCCCAAAAAACUGUUCGUAGUCCGGAUCGGAGUCUGCAACUCGACUCCGUG
Molecule: ribosomal RNA, 406 nt
Filed under: uncultured bacterium
Lineage: Bacteria
Description: bacterial SSU rRNA
Rfam family: Bacterial small subunit ribosomal RNA
Source: RNAcentral